Molecule: non-coding RNA, 216 nt
Organism: Pelobates cultripes (western spadefoot toad)
Lineage: Eukaryota; Metazoa; Chordata; Amphibia; Anura; Pelobatidae
Source: the annotation of a GenBank genome assembly
AUCAACAGCUACACAUUUGCAUAAGAGUGCAAUGCAUGCUGGGUCCUAAUGCUGGUUUGGUCCCAAGGUGAGAAGAACCAGUCAAAAAGGUGUCUCUCUAAAGGUGUGAAUAGACACCGGGCAUACUGUAGAACAGCUCCAUGUUCUCUCCUAUUACAUUACAGAUUAUCAGGGUUACUUAUUAAACUUAGAAUUUAAAGUGAAUUUAUAAUGUAA